Molecule: transfer RNA, 72 nt
Filed under: Camelus bactrianus (Bactrian camel)
Lineage: Eukaryota; Metazoa; Chordata; Mammalia; Artiodactyla; Camelidae
Also listed under: 2 other names
Rfam family: tRNA
About the family: Transfer RNA (tRNA) molecules are approximately 80 nucleotides in length. Their secondary structure includes four short double-helical elements and three loops (D, anti-codon, and T loops).
Source: Rfam by way of RNAcentral
GAGUGUAUAGCUCAGUGGUAGAGUGCAUGCUUACCAUGCAUGAAGUUCCCAGUUCAAUCCCCAGUACCUCCA